This 253-nucleotide ribosomal RNA is filed under the name uncultured bacterium. Its description in RNAcentral is "partial 16S ribosomal RNA". It matches the Rfam family "Bacterial small subunit ribosomal RNA", at positions 524 to 776 of the family's 1533-position model. The record is from RNAcentral.
UACGGAGGAUCCAAGCGUUGUCCGGAUUUAUUGGGUUUAAAGGGUGCGUAGGCGGUUUGAUAAGUCAGUGGUGAAAGUUUGCGGCUUAACCGUAAAAUUGCCAUUGAAACUGUCAGACUUGAGUGUAGUUGAGGUAGCUGGAAUGUGUCAUGUAGCGGUGAAAUGCUUAGAUAUGAUACAGAACACCAAUUGCGAAGGCAGGUUACUAAACUACAACUGACGCUGAGGCACGAAAGCAUGGGGAUCAAACAGG